UACGGAGGGUGCAAGCGUUGUCCGGAAUCACUGGGCGUAAAGGGCGCGCAGGCGGCUCAUGAAGGCUGUGGUGAAAGUCCGGGGCUCAACCUCGGAUCGGCCGUGGCGACUCGUGGGCUGGAGCACUGUAGAGGCGGGUGGAAUUCCGGGUGUAGCGGUGGAAUGCGUAGAGAUCCGGAAGAACACCAGUGGCGAAGGCGGCCCGCUGGGCAGUGGCUGACGCUGAGGCGCGACAGCGUGGGGAGCAAACGGG
RNAcentral lists this ribosomal RNA (253 nucleotides) under uncultured bacterium. RNAcentral's name for it is "partial 16S ribosomal RNA". It matches the Rfam family "Bacterial small subunit ribosomal RNA", at positions 524 to 776 of the family's 1533-position model. The record is from RNAcentral.